GGUAAACAUGUGUUUUUUACAUUACUAUUAAAGGUGUGAUUAUUGGUACUCCGGGGAGGCUUCAAGGAGAAACUGGAAAUAAAAUCCUCCAAGACAUCCAUGCCCACAUCCACUGCCACAGCACACCAACAGCAAUCUAUGUCAGCACCACCACCACAUGGGAGAGCUGAGAAGUUGACCCCCUGCAUCCAUACUUGGCACAUGAAGGCUAUAGGCCUAAGGGAAGAAUCAUGAUUCUGACAUGUAAAGAAUCUCUUUUUACGGGGCGGUCACUCACUUUUUGCACCUAAUGAUUUCACACUGUUAACUACUGUUUUAUUGAUAAUAAUAGUAAUAAUUGUUCAAGUUAAACAAUUAUGCCGUUUGUGAAACUACUGUUUUAGUGAUAAUAAUAGUAAUAAUUCAUCAAGUUAAACAAUUAUGCCUUUUGUGAUUCUGCACAAGUCUAGUUAAAGUUUUUAAGGUCAACUUGAAACAUUGUGUAAAGGGAUGGCAAAGUCAGUACAAUGAGUCAAA
Patiria miniata (bat star) is the source of this 516-nucleotide long non-coding RNA. RefSeq lists it as uncharacterized. The transcript has 2 exons. The record is from RefSeq and is a predicted model, not a curated record. Lineage: Eukaryota; Metazoa; Echinodermata; Asteroidea; Valvatida; Asterinidae.